UACGAAGGGGGCUAGCGUUGCUCGGAAUCACUGGGCGUAAAGCGCACGUAGGCGGCUUCUUAAGUCAGGGGUGAAAUCCUGGAGCUCAACUCCAGAACUGCCUUUGAUACUGAGAAGCUUGAGUUCGGGAGAGGUGAGUGGAACUGCGAGUGUAGAGGUGAAAUUCGUAGAUAUUCGCAAGGACACCAGUGGCGAAGGCGGCUCACUGGCCCGAUACUGACGCUGAGGUGCGAAAGCGUGGGGAGCAAACAGG
This 253-nucleotide ribosomal RNA is filed under the name uncultured bacterium. Its description in RNAcentral is "partial 16S ribosomal RNA". It matches the Rfam family "Bacterial small subunit ribosomal RNA", at positions 524 to 776 of the family's 1533-position model. The record is from RNAcentral.